This 83-nucleotide transfer RNA is filed under the name Methylomagnum ishizawai. Its description in RNAcentral is "tRNA-Trp". The record is from RNAcentral. Lineage: Bacteria; Pseudomonadati; Pseudomonadota; Gammaproteobacteria; Methylococcales; Methylococcaceae.
CAGUCGAGUUGUCCGGGUUCCAGCCUGCCGGGUUCCAGGCCCGGCCCUUUGGGUGCCUUGAGUUCGAUCCACAGCCCGGUAGA